This 253-nucleotide ribosomal RNA is filed under the name uncultured bacterium. Its description in RNAcentral is "partial 16S ribosomal RNA". It matches the Rfam family "Bacterial small subunit ribosomal RNA", at positions 524 to 776 of the family's 1533-position model. The record is from RNAcentral.
UACAGAGGGUGCGAGCGUUAAUCGGAAUUACUGGGCGUAAAGCGCGCGUAGGCGGCUUUUCAAGUCGAUUGUGAAAUCCCCGGGCUUAACCUGGGAACUGCAGUCGAGACUGUCUAGCUAGAGUAUGGGAGAGGGAAGUGGAAUUUCAGGUGUAGCGGUGAAAUGCGUAGAUAUCGGAAGGAACACCAGUGGCGAAAGCGGCUUCCUGGUCCAGCACCGACGUUCAGGCACGAAAGCGUGGGGAGCAAACAGG